AGAACGAACGCUGGCGGCAUGCUUAACACAUGCAAGUCGCACGGGCAGGGGUAACUCUGUCAGUGGCGGACGGGUGAGUAACGCGUAGGUAUCUAUCCUCGGGUGGGGGGACAACCACGGGAAACUGUGGCUAAUACCGCAUGAUGACUGAGGUCCAAAGGCGCAAGUCGCCUGGGGAGGAGCCUGCGUCCGAUUAGCUUGUUGGUGGGGUAAAGGCCUACCAAGGCUCCGAUCGGUAGCUGGUCUGAGAGGAUGAUCAGCCACACUGGGACUGAGACACGGCCCCAGACUCCUACGGGAGGCAGCAGUGGGGGAAUAUUGGGACAAUGGGCGAAAGCCUGAUCCAGCAAUGCCGCGUGUGUGAAGAAGGUCUUCGGAUUGUAAAGCACUUUCGACGGGGACGAUGAUGACGGUACCGUAGAAGAAGCCCGGCUAACUUCGCGCCAGCAGCCGC
This 454-nucleotide ribosomal RNA is filed under the name uncultured bacterium. RNAcentral describes it as "SSU rRNA". It matches the Rfam family "Bacterial small subunit ribosomal RNA", at positions 26 to 518 of the family's 1533-position model. The record is from RNAcentral.